CCUACGGGAGGCAGCAGUGGGGAAUAUUGGGCAAUGGGCGCAAGCCUGACCCAGCAACGCCGCGUGAAGGAAGAAGGCUUUCGGGUUGGAAACUUCUUUUCUCAGGGACGAAGCAAGUGACGGUACUGGAGGAAUAAGCCACGGCUAACUACGGGCCAGCAGCCGCGGUAAUACGUAGGUGGCAAGCGUUAUCCGGAUUUACUGGGUGUAAAGGGCGUGGAGUCGGGACUGCAAGUGAGAUGUGAAAACCAUGGGCUCAACCUAUGGCCUGCAUUUGAAACUGUAGUUCUUGAGUACUGGAGAGGCAGACGGAAUUCCUAGUGUAGCGGUGAAAUGCGUAGAUAUUAGGAGGAACACCAGUGGCGAAGGCGGUCUGCUGGACAGCAACUGACGCUGAGGCGCGAAAGCGUGGGGAGCAAACAGGAUUAGAUACCCCGUUAGUC
Molecule: ribosomal RNA, 443 nt
Filed under: uncultured bacterium
Lineage: Bacteria
Description: partial 16S ribosomal RNA
Rfam family: Bacterial small subunit ribosomal RNA
Source: RNAcentral